Long non-coding RNA from Symphalangus syndactylus (siamang), 6293 nucleotides. RefSeq lists it as uncharacterized. The record is from RefSeq and is a predicted model, not a curated record. NCBI's taxonomy places the organism in Eukaryota, Metazoa, Chordata, Mammalia, Primates, Hylobatidae.
GCAAUAUUUGAAAAUAGUUAUUGUUCUAUGUGAACUGAAAAUCUACCCCGGAGUUGUGUUUGCAUUGUCAAUUUAUUUAGCAUGUGCUUUCUGCUUAGUAACCAGCCCCACUCCCAGGCCCUGGCCUUUUAAUUAGUCACCUGUCAUCAUAUUGAAGUGUUCCUCUUGAGGCACCAGUGACCCAUGGAGAGUCAAAACAUGGCAUUUGACACAGAAACAAACAUUUGCUGAACUUAUGUAAUCGGGCUGGUCAGAUGAACUGUUUCUUGGUGAUCAUGAAUUGAACUUACAUGAAAGAACAGGAAUCAAGGUGGUCAAGAGGAUGGGAAUGUCAAGGGGAAGAGGGCCACCAAGCAGAGUUAUAGGACCCAAAUUUGACGGCUGGCCACUUGUGUAGAUGCCUUAAAGCCCCAAUGCUCCAUAGCUGCCACUUGACAGAGGUAGAUUUUUUUGCAUAGUUCCAUUCAUUUACUCAAUCAACAGAUAACAAUUAACUUCUGACAUGUGUCCAGCAUGCUUUCAGGCCCUAGGAAUAAGACACUGCACAAGGUACCUGCCCUUAUAAGGCUUACAUGCUGGUGGAGGAAAGAAACAGAAACAAAUAAACAAAUUACUAAAUAGAAUUCAGGUUUGAUAAUACAGAAAGUAAAGCAGGAUUCAGAUACAGUGACAAGUAAUGGUGUGUGUGUGUGUGUGUGUGUGUGUGUGUCCUUUGAUUAGUUAGAUUCAUUAGGGAAGGCUGCUUGGAAGAGAUGACAUUUGAACAGACAGACUCGAAUGAAACGAGGAGGUGAGUCACUUAAGAGUACCUCAGCUAAAACUAAACCAGGUAUCACCAUUAUGGUGAACUGACCUAAGUUAACUUCGUCAUGAUGCACCACUCUUAAGUUGUUUUUAGUUGAAAAUCGUUGUUGAAAGAUUGGGAUAAAUAAGUGCUAUGGUUUGAAUGUAUGUAUGCCUCCAAAAUUUGUAAGUUAAAAUUUACACUCCAAGGUGAUAAUCUAGAGGUGGGGCCUUUGGGGAAGUGAUUAAGUCCUGAUGGCUCCACCCUUGUGAACUGAAUUAAUGUCCUUAUAAAAGAGGUUUCAGAAAGCUGCCUGACCCAUCCUCCAUCUCUUCCACCACGUGAGCACAGAGGAAGAGGCACCAUCUUGGAAACAGAGAUCAGCCUUCUCCAGGUACUGAAUCUGCUGGUGCCUUAAUCUUGGACUUCCCAGCCACUUAGGUUCUCUGGAAGCAGAUACUGAGACAGAUACUAAGACGGAGAAACCUCAUCUCUACUAAAAAUACAAAAUUAGCCAGGAGUGGUGGCACAUGCCUGUAGUCCCAGCUACUCAGGAGGCUGAGGCAGGAGAAUCACUUGAACCCAGGAGGUGGAGGUUGCGGUGAGCCGAGAUCCUGCCAUUGGACUCCAGCCUGGGCAACAAGAGCGAAAUUCCAUCUCAAAAACAAAAACAAAACAAAAAAACAUAUAUGGCCAGCUAGUUCUGCUUUAAAAAAAAAAAGCUCAAAAUAAUAUAAUUGAAUAUCACAAAGAAUAUAGACCAUCUUUAAACUUCAUUUAUACUCAUUAUACUUGUUUUCUCUUGCUAGUUUAUCAAAAGCAUGACAUGAUUAGGAGUUUAUUUCCAUGUUGAUGGAGGUUUAUAAUCUACAAGUUGAAGGGAAUUAUUAAUGAUUUACAGUCUCCCUUUGGGUCCUGUACUUCUCAUCUUCCCCAAUCCUGACCUGCUCCUGGAACCCUAACUCUAAGAUGGGACUUUGUGGCUGGCAACUCCCCCCAGGUCUCCCACAGACCCUCAGAUCAGGAGCCUCUGAAACACAGAAAAGUAAAUUGGAACGGAAUUCAUGCUACACCAUGGUGAAGAAGAGGAACUCUAGCAAAAUCUGUAGACCGGAAAAAUGAAACGUUUCUGUACUCGGCCUGACACGGCUCCCUGCGGACAUCAGAGGCAGCCCUCAGCGGAUGGGACAAACAUGGUGGGCAUGGACUGUAGGUUCCUGGUUUGGCCCUUCCACUGAGGUGGGAGAGCUGGAAAGUCCGCCAUUUGCACCACUUGGGUUCCAGGUGUGAGUAUCUCCGUAAUACUUGGGCAUGAUAAUGUCACCUAGAACUGGCUUGAGCCCAUUCCUCCAAGACAGAAGCAUCCUGAACAACGUUUGACCACAUAUCGGAGUAUCAUGGCCUAGCCAAGUUGACACACAAAAUUAACCAUCACAUGGAAUUAGAUAAGUCUGAGUGCAGUUGUUAAGGUGGGCACUAAGCCAAUAUGACUGGUGUCCUUAUGAAAGGGGAGAUUUGGACACAGAGACAGAAACACACACAGGGAGAAGCACGCCAUGUCUUCGAUGAAGGUUGAGACCAGGGUGAGGACAGCAAACCACCAGGAGCUAGGAGAGAGGUGUGCCCAGAUUCUCCGCACAGCCUUGUAAAAGAAUCAACACCACCAACACCUUGAUCUCAGACCUCAAGCCUCAAGAACUAUGGGACAAUAAAUUUCUGUUGUUUAAGCCAUCCAGUUUGUGGCACUUUGUUCACUCUAGUGAACGAAUAUAGCUUUCCAUAAUCCAAACAGUACAGAAACAGAGAACAAGACACCAAACUCCUGGGCUCCAGAAGGCAUUAGCCGGGCAUAGACAGGAGAAAAAUCUGAAAGAUGUGAGCAGGCAGCGCCCAUUUCUACCUGCCUGCUCUCCACCCACAUCCUCCCUGGUUUCUGGACUAACAGAUAAAGCCCUCAGCCUGAGUGGAGAGAGGAGAGUUGAAGAGGGAGUAAGAGAGUUGGAUGCAAUGUGGAAGGCGUACAUCCUCCCUAUCCUCUGACAAUAGCCAACUCACAGGGGCGGGCGGGUCUGGGGAGCACCUUUAAAUGUGAGGAUAAACUCCAGGGAGACUACAUCUGAUCCAUUGUUGUGUGUCAGCAGUGGGUAGAAAUGACGGCACCGCACAUGGGGCCAGAGGCUAUCCUGAGUUUUCCGUAUCCCUAAAGGGGUGUGUCAGCCAUUAGAAAACAUCCAAAGUUCCUGAGUGAGGACACACAGAAGAUACUUGGGAGACAGCAAGCCUGUGAGGCCUGGAGACCAGAAUGAAGGGACCCUAUGUGGGGAAGGUACAGCUCACGGUCAGGACUGCAGGAAGCCUGGGAGGACGCCAUGGAGACCUGCAGGUCUCUGAGGCAAGGUGAUGGUGUGUCGGAAGCAGCAGGCCAGCAGAGCACCAAGAAGGGGGUGCCCUCUCCCCAUGCCCUCACCCAGCCUUCAACACUGUGUGGGCAAGUGGGAAUUCAGCCGGACAUCAGUGUCAACCUCAGAGAUACAAGGAAAGAGGGCGAAGAAAAUCUGAACUGUAACUCAGUUCUAAAUCCAGAUGCCCAGGAAGUUGCUGGAUCUGACUAGGUUUACCUGAAAAUAGCGAAUUUGAGUUUUCCGCAAUGGUUUGAGAAAGCUCAAGAUGAAAAGUAAGGCCAGAAACAGGAAAAAUAAAGUUAUCGUUUGCCCACAUAAGUCUGUGUUUUACGAAAUUAAUGCUUGUUACAAUAGCUAUUAUUGAAUGCCAAAUUUAUACCAAGAACUUUAUAGAUACCAUCUCAUUUAAUUGAUAUGAUUUUAUGUGUAUUACUAUUCACAUUAUAUAAAAUUAGAGAGAUUAAGUUACCUGACUGAAGUCACCCUCCUAAUCAUCAGUGCAGCUAAGAUUUGUGUCUAUACCUAUACAACUCUAAAACAUAUUCUCGGGAUUGGUGGGAAGUCUUUGCCUAGUACAGUAUUUGCCCUACUGAAUUUUAAGCCACAUGUCAAGAGCAUAGCACUGGGCUUCCUUGCAGAGGAUGGACUCAGACACAUUCCUGGGUCUUUCCUUCCCCAGGUGGAUGGUGUUUGCAUCAUUACUUUCAUUACUUUGCUUUCUCACUGUCAUUUCUAUAGUCUUGGCUUCACUUUCUCCUUCAUCAGUCUCUUCAGCUCUCUCUGGCUGGAAGAUUUUUCUUGGAAGAGAAGACUGAAGCACAGUUGGUCCUCACCUGAGAUGCAGCAGUCUGGCUUUUCCUUUCUAGUUUCCCUAUUUUGUAUUGCUACCAUUUCUGGGUCGAAAUAUCUGCUUACUUCAUCCAUCCAUCCAUUUCCGCUUUACUCCAUCAGUUAUUUUUUCAAGAAAAGCAAUAGGUUUGGGAAAAUACUAAGCUUCAAAACAAGUAUAAGCUGAUUUCCCACAGUCAAGAUUAGCUUUCUCUGAUGCCCACAGGUCAAUUUUUCCUUCUGUGCUGGACAAGAUGUAUCUUGGACAUGAGUGAGAUAGAAGUUGGCCCCAUUUUCUUUCUUUUUACUAGGAAGAGGCUAAGUAACACUCAUACAAGCACAUAGCCGGUAGUUUGUGGAGUUAGGAUUCAAACUUGGGUCCACUUAACUGCAAAGUCAGUACUGUUACUUUUCUACCACCCCACUUUUCCAAAGGGUUUCCUUACUUCCAACUAUAUCCACAAGCAAAAAGUCAUGCAUAGGGCAUCUCCUCUGUAGAAGAAUAAUAUUCAAAGAGAUGUACAAAUUUAAAUAUCAGUCUCAUUAGAUGAUGAUACCUUCACACAUGUGUAGAUCCACGCACAGAUAUAUUUGAGGGGCCGCUUUAAGCACUGUUGGCAGAGCUUUCACUUUCUAUCAUCUUCCAGAUCAAAGCUCCCCAAAGCAGAGGAUCUCAGGAAAGCCACCUAUGUACUGUGCCCUUGGGAGUUCUGUGAUGACAAUGAUGAUCAUGUCCAAAUAGCUAGUGGCCAUCCACUCCCACUCCUCAGGCCCUUCCUCAGGACUGUCCAGCCAUGGUGAUUUGCCUGUUCAGUAGCCACUGUCCUCCACAACCAGAUUUUUGUCAGAAAAUAUCUAUAUUCUCACAUUAUCUGUUGAGGGACAGAGGUGGCAUUUUGGAAGAUUGAUUGGCAAGUUCUAAGAGAUGGUCAGUGAAGCAAUUAUAGUGGAAGAUGUUGUCUGCACGUGAAAGUGCUUCCUGUAAAGCAGUACAUGCAGAUCAGUCAUUGGCUGCUGCUUCUAUGUUCCUCCUAUUAUUAUUAACCGCACUUUUAGAGUAGGAGAAAGAUAGCAGAGCUGAAGAGCCAGAGGACUGGCAGCCGUUCUUUAACCUCUGCUAACUGGUUUGUGAGUUGGGCAAGUCAUUUAAACCGUCUUCUUAUCUAGAAAAUGCAAAGCUUGUGUAGCUUUGCAUUUAGAAGAUCUCUGUGGUCCUUCCUUGCUUUUAUCUAGUUGCUUGAGGAAACCCCAUGAGUAUAAUCAACUAGAUGUCCAGAAAACUUUUAAUUACUGGCAGCUCUAUUAGGAGCCCAGUGGACAAAGAGUUUUCUUAUUUUUAAUAUAGUAGAGACUUUAAAUGCAGGGUAUGGAGGGCCCACAGGAGCACAAAGAGCUGUUUAAAAGUCCAGCUGCUUGAGUUGGAACUUAUUUGAGAAUGCAGGUUUAAAUGUACAAACACUCAUAGACAUACACACAUACACAAACAGAAGAAUCUCAUAGUAAGAUAUAAUAAGCUUCUGAAAAGAUGGAUAUUAAGUUAAAUUUUUUUGAAUUGAAAUAUUUUGAUUGCAUGAAGAGAGUAUACUAGUUUUUUUAAAAAGCAAAGAAAUUCUUUUUUCUUUUUUAUUAUACUUUAAGUUCUAGGGUACAUGUGCACAACGUGCAGGUUUGUUACAUAUGUAUCCAUGUGCCAUGUUGGUGUACUACACUCAUUAACUCAUCAUUUACAUUAGGUAUAUCUCCUAAUGUUAUCCCUUCCACUUCCUCCCACCCCACAACAGGCCCCGGUGUGUGACGUUCCCCUUCCUGUGUCCAAGUGUUCUCAUUGUUCAGUUCCCACCUACGAGUGAGAACAUGUGGUGUUUGAUUUUUUGUCCUUGUGAUAGUUUGCUGAGAAUGAUGGCUUCCAGCUUCAUCCAUGUCCCUACAAAGGACACGAACUCACCCUUUUUUAUGGCUGCGUAGUAUUCCAUGGUGCAUAUGUGCCACAUUUUCUUAAUCCAGUCUAUCAUUGAUGGACAUUUGGGUUGGUUCCAAGUCUUUGCUAUUGUGAAUAGUGACGUAAUAAACAUACAUGUGCAUGUGUCUUUAUAGCAGCAUGAUUUAUAAUCCUUUGGGUAUAUACCCCAUAAUGGGAUGGCUGGGUCAAAUGGUAUUUCUAGUUCUAGAUCCUUGAGGAAUCACCACACUGACUUCCACAAUGGUUGAACUAGGUUACAGUCCCACCAACAGUGUAAAAGUGUUCCUAUUUCUCCACAUCCUCUCCAGCACCUGUUGUU